CUGCUGUAUACAAAUUAUCUAGUUAAUAAGGAGUUAUUUGUAAUAAGAUAAUAUGAAAAGUGAGUCUCUUGUUCGUGAGUAAGAGGUUAGCUUCACAAAAUACAGGCAUUAUCUCUUGAUCUGGGUCUCUUAUACUCUGAAGAUGGCUUCGGAAACAUGAAGCUCUGGAAACUUGAUCUGUAUUGAGAGUUGUGCCAUGAAGAAAUUGCAAGGGUGUGGUACAGGUGUGCAGGAAGUAGCGGCGCCUACUAAAUUGCAUACAAGAAGUUGCCCCACUUACCAGCGACAAGGCUCAGGGUGUCCACGGACAUCUCUCUUGCAACACCCUCCUCUGCUGCUGCUGCUGCUGCUGCUGCUGCUGGUGGUGGUGGUGGUGGUGGUGGUGGUGCAGCAGGUGGCCCAGACCAAUCUUCGUUCUUCGCUACCCGUUCAUCAGACUUGCUGCAAGGACGAGAAACAUGCUUCAGUAUAUGACCAGACUGCACAUUGACUAACGGUUCUACAACUUCCACUACU
Schistocerca serialis cubense is the source of this 516-nucleotide long non-coding RNA. RefSeq lists it as uncharacterized. Lineage: Eukaryota; Metazoa; Arthropoda; Insecta; Orthoptera; Acrididae. The record is from RefSeq and is a predicted model, not a curated record. The transcript is spliced from 3 exons.